GAGUGUGUCACCACCAGGCAUGCGAGGGCGCGGAGCAUGGUGUCAGUGAGGGGAGGAGAGCACAGAAAUAAGAGAGGCCGGAGAUGCUGUUUUGAUGAGCUCACAGAUUUGCUCAUGACUGGCCCUGGAACCUCACUAGGAGACGACUGGGUUUAGAACCUGGACUGAAAGGAUCAAGAAAGCAAAGUAAAUUGUCCACGGCAUGGAGGCUGGAGCUGUGCAACUUGGAUCCAAAUCUCUAUUCGGUUGUCUGUUGACUGUGUGACUUGGGAAGUCCUUCUGUAAAGAAGAGUUGAAGGCUGCAGCCCACGCUUCCUCAACAUGAGGCAUGCUUGCCAGCUCCGUCUUGUCAGUUAUCUCUUGGUGGACGAUGGGAGGAGGGAAGUGGCUCUCAAGAGACAACUCAAAUGGUGCUUUA
This is a long non-coding RNA of Dama dama (fallow deer), 418 nucleotides long. RefSeq lists it as uncharacterized. The transcript has 3 exons. NCBI's taxonomy places the organism in Eukaryota, Metazoa, Chordata, Mammalia, Artiodactyla, Cervidae. The record is from RefSeq and is a predicted model, not a curated record.